RNAcentral lists this ribosomal RNA (788 nucleotides) under uncultured organism. RNAcentral describes it as "bacterial SSU rRNA". It matches the Rfam family "Bacterial small subunit ribosomal RNA", at positions 642 to 1411 of the family's 1533-position model. The record is from RNAcentral.
AGAGGGCGACAGGGGUAAACGGGAAUUCCCAGUGAAAGCGGUGGAAAUGCGUAAGAGAUUGUCAAAGAACACAUGGUGGCCGAAAGCCGCUCUACAGGGAUCGGACCUAGACCCUCAGGGGACGAAAGCUAAGGUAACCGAAGGGAAUAAGAUACCCCUGAAGGUCCAUAGCCGUAAAGCCUGGAUACUAAGGCGUGAGUUGGAUCGAACAAAGGCGGGCCGAAAGCUAACGCGUUAAGUUAUCCCGCCUGGGGAGUACGCACGGCAAGUGUGCAACUCAAAGGAAUUGACGGGGGCCCGCACAAGCGCUGGAGGAUGUCGGUUUAAUUCGAUGCAACGCGAAGAACCUUACCAGGGCUUGACAUCCCGCGAAUCAUGCUGAAAGGCGAGAGUGCCUUCGGGAGCACGGAGACAGGUGGUGCAUGGCUGUCGUCAGCUCGUGUCGUGAGAUCUUGGGUUAAGUCCCGCAACGAGCGCAACCCUCGUCCUUAGUUGCCAGCAUUAAGUUGGGCACUCUAGGGAGACUGCCGGUGACAAACCGGAGUAAGAUGAGGAUGACGUCAAGUCAGCAUGCCCCUUAUGCUAUGGGCAACACACGUCCUACAAUGGUCGGGACAAAGGGGAACAAGCUCGCGAGAGUAAGCGAAUCCCAGCAAAUUAGGCCUCAGUUCAGAAUGCAGGCUGCAACUCGCCUGCAUGAAGGAGGAAUCGCUAGUAAUCGCAGGUCAGCAUAAUGCGGUGUAUUCGUUCCCGGGCCUUGUACACAACGCCCGUCACACCAUGGAAGC